AGUGAACGCUGGCGGUAGGCCUAACACAUGCAAGUCGAACGGCAGCACAGUAAGAGCUUGCUCUUACGGGUGGCGAGUGGCGGACGGGUGAGGAAUACAUCGGAAUCUACUUUUUCGUGGGGGAUAACGUAGGGAAACUUACGCUAAUACCGCAUACGACCUACGUGUGAAAGCAGGGGAUCUUCGGACCUUGCGCGAUUGAAUGAGCCGAUGUCGGAUUAGGUAGUUGGCGGGGUAAAGGCCCACCAAGGCGACGAUCCGUCGCUGGUCUGAGAGGAUGAGCCGCCACACUGGAACUGAGACACGGCCCCGACUCCUACAGGGGGCAGCAGUGGGGAAUAUUGGACGAUGGGGGCAAGCCUGAUCCAGCAAUACCGCGUGAGUGAAGAAGGCCUUCGGCUUGUAAAGCCCUUUUGUUGGGAAAGAAAAGCAGCAGGUUAAUACCCGGCUGUUCUGACGGUACCCAAAGAAUAAGCACCGGCUAACUUCGUG
RNAcentral lists this ribosomal RNA (492 nucleotides) under uncultured bacterium. Its description in RNAcentral is "partial 16S ribosomal RNA". It matches the Rfam family "Bacterial small subunit ribosomal RNA", at positions 29 to 507 of the family's 1533-position model. The record is from RNAcentral.